ACGUGUUCCGCCAGAUCGUUCCAUUGAAAAGUACAUCACUUACGUAGACGGCUUGUCACCACUGCCAAUCUGGGGCCUCCCGCGCGACCUUUCUGCCAUUGACGAAUCAGGAUUCGCUCGCAGAUACGCUAGAGCCAAGAGCUACGCCACAACGUCGUGGGUUUUGAUCAACUCGUUCGAAGAACUCGAGGGCAGUGCCACCUUCCAAGCCCUCCGAGACAUCUCUCCCAAAGCAAUCGCAGUGGGUCCUCUUUUCACCAUGGCCCCCGGCUGCAACAAGGCAAGCUUGUGGAAGGAAGACACCGAGAGUUUAUCCUGGCUCGGCAAGCAAAGUCCCGGCUCGGUUCUCUACAUUUCCUUGGGCAGCAUCGCGACCCUCAGCUUCGAUCAGUUCAAGGAGUUCUCCGAGGGACUGAGGCUUCUCCAGCGUCCGUUUAUCUGGGCCAUCCGACCCAAGUCGGUCGCCGGCAUGGAGCCCGAGUUCCUGGAGCGUUUCAAGGAGGCCGUGAGGAGCUUUGGACUGGUUGUGAGCUGGGCUCCUCAGGUGGACAUCCUCCGCCACCCUUCCACGGCUGGAUUUCUCAGUCACUGCGGCUGGAACUCCAUCCUCGAGAGCGUAGCAUCCGCGGUGCCCAUGCUUUGCUGGCCGUGCGUCGCGGAGCAGAAUCUAAACUGCAAGUUGAUAGUGGAGGACUGGAAGAUCGGUCUCAAGUUCUCGUGCGUGACCAUGCCGGAUCCUCCCGAGGUGAUGGCGAGGGACGAGUUUGUGGAGGUGGUGGAGCGAUUCAUGGGAACUGACAGUGAGCAUUUGAGGAUUAACGUGAAGAAGCUGAGCGAGGAGGCUCGUAGAGCAGUGUCUAGUGGUGGCUCCUCAUAUGAAAACCUGGAGAGAUUUGCUCAAGCAGUGAAAAUUUCCUAAACUUCAAUCCAAAGCUAAGAGAAAACUUCAAAGCAUCUACUCUAUUCAAGAAUAUACUACAGUUCUUUCUCUCUCUCUCUGAAGAUAAGCACGCGCUUUGCGCGUAUAAUGGGUUCCAAGGUCAAUGUUGUCGCAAUUCCUCUCCCAGCUCAAGGCCACAUCUCUCCACUCUUGCAUCUCUGCCAAGCUCUCACUUUCAUCCUUUGGGGGAUGCUAUCUCCAAAACACGCAACCAUGAGGGAAUGUGCUGGACUUUGUUACGUGCAAAAACCCAUGGCUAAUGUGCUAAUGUAGACUCUAAGGUGAUGCUUUAUAUCAGAAACUGAUGUGAGGAGAAGAAACUAAAGAAAAACAAAGAAAAAAUAAUAAUAAGAAAGAGAGUGUAAAGUUCUGGAGUCAAAGGGGAACCACAUGGGGAAACUUGAUAAAAGAAUUAAACACUAAAAAAUGGAAAAACAAAAAGUGAAAAAAACUAAAGAGCAAAGAACAGCUUAAAGAAAUACUAGCAAGAUUGGAAGAGCUCUAGAGGCCAGUUAGAAUGGCCAUUUGUCUCAAGUUGGUCCCUGGCAUAGAGCCCGAGUUCCUGGAGGCUUUCAAGGCUCUCCUUGCAAGUGAUCAGCUUUGGACAGGUUGUGAGCUGGGCUCCUCAACUGGAAAUCCUCCAGCAUCCUUCCACAGGCUGCGAGAGUGUAUCUUCAGCGGUGCCAAUCCUUUGCUGGCCAUGAGUUGCCAAGCAGAAUCUCAACUGCAAGCUUAUAGUGGAAGACUGGAAGAUCGAUCUUAAGUUCCCGCCCAUGAGAGAUCCUCGCAAGGUUUAGAUGUAAUGUGAAGGAGCUCAGCGAGGCUGCUCAGGGAGCAACAGUGAAAGAAGGCAGGAUCUUCAUAUGAAAGUUUGGACAAGUUUGUCAAGUUUCAUAAGGUAACUUAUAUCCAAUGCCGCAGCUGGUGGCAGGAGGAUCAUCGGGCAUGAGGGCGGGGCCAAUGCACAGACAGACCAACCACCAAGAGCACAUAAAGAUGAUACUUGAAAGUGUAUAGGUUGGUGGAAGUGUUAUUUUCCUUCCCAAAGAAAUAGAUGGCGUAAUCAAGAGGAGUAAAACAUUCCUGAAGGAGAACACUAGAUUAAAACAUUUGCAAAACGCACUGAUUCUUAAGCUCAGCCUUGGAGCGAUUUGAAGCUUAUCCAGAAAAGGUAUUGUGAGAAACGGCAGCACCUUCCAGAGCACUCACGAAGUAAGCUUGAAUUUUCUUUGUUCUUCGUCAAUGGGUUCUUCUACUGGUGCCGAGGGGCUCGCUCCUCAUGCAGCGGUUCUUCCCGUUCCAACCCAAGGCCACAUCACUCCAUUCCUCCAUCUCUCCAGAGCGCUGGCGUCGCGAGGCUUCGUCAUAACUUUCAUCAACACGGAGGCCAACCACAGGGACUUGAAGGACAUCGUUUCGCAGGAGGAGAGCUUUGGCUAUGGCGGCGGCAUUCGCUUCGAGACGGUCCCGGGCAUCCAAGCGAGCGACGUCGACUUCGCGGUCCCGGAGAAGCGGGGGAUGUUGUCCGAGGCAGUGAUGGAGAUGCAAGCUCCAGUGGAAAGCUUGCUCAUCAGGAACAUGGCCAGAGACGAUGAUCUCGUUCCUCCGGUCUCGUGCUUCAUCUCGGAUAUGUUCCCGUGGUCCGCGGAAGUAGCAAGAAGGACUGGAAUCCCAGAGGUCAAGUUCUGGACCGCCAGUGCCUCUUGCGUUUUGCUCGAUUGCUCGUUUCCGCGAAUGCUGGAGAAGGGAGACGUUCCAGUCCAAGGUAAAGCUUCUUUCUUCUUUUUUAUUUGUCCUUCACUAACGUGUUCCGCCAGAUCGUUCCAUUGAAAAGUACAUCACUUACGUAGACGGCUUGUCACCACUGCCAAUCUGGGGCCUCCCGCGCGACCUUUCUGCCAUUGACGAAUCAAGAUUCGCUCGCAGAUACGCUAGAGCCAAGAGCUACGCCACAACGUCGUGGGUUUUGGUCAACUCGUUCGAAGAACUCGAGGGCAGUGCCACCUUCCAAGCCCUCCGAGACAUCUCUCCCAAAGCAAUCGCAGUGGGUCCUCUUUUCACCAUGGUCCCCGGCUCCAACAAGGCAAGCUUGUGGAAGGAAGACACCGAGAGUUUAUCCUGGCUCGGCAAGCAAAGUCCCGGCUCGGUUCUCUACAUUUCCUUGGGCAGCAUGGCGACUCUCAGCUUCGAUCAGUUCAAGGAGUUCUCCGAGGGACUGACGCUUCUCCAGCGUCCGUUUAUCUGGGCCAUCCGACCCAAGUCGGUCGCCGGCAUGGAGCCCGAGUUCCUGGAGCGUUUCAAGGAGGCCGUGAGGAGCUUUGGACUGGUUGUGAGCUGGGCUCCUCAGGUGGACAUCCUCCGCCACCCUUCCACGGCUGGAUUUCUCAGUCACUGCGGCUGGAACUCCAUCCUCGAGAGCGUAGCAUCCGCGGUGCCCAUGCUUUGCUGGCCGUGCGUCGCGGAGCAGAAUCUAAACUGCAAGUUGAUAGUGGAGGACUGGAAGAUCGGUCUCAAGUUCUCGUGCGUGACCAUGCUGGAUCCUCCCGAGGUGAUGGCGAGGGACGAGUUUGUGGAGGUGGUGGAGCGAUUCAUGGGAACUGACAGUGAGCAUUUGAGGAUUAACGUGAAGAAGCUGAGCGAGGAGGCUCGUAGAGCAGUGUCUAGUGGUGGCUCCUCGUAUGAAAACCUGGAGAGAUUUGCUCAAGCAGUGAAAAUUUCCUAAACUUCAAUCCACGGCUAAGAGAAAACUUCAAAGCAUCUACUCUACUCAAGAAUAUACUACUCUUUCUCUCUCUCUCUGAAGAUAAGCACGCGCUUUGCGCGUAUAAUGGGUUCCAAGAUCAAUGUUGUGGCGAUUCCUUUCCCCUCUCCACUCUUGCAUCUCUGCCAAGCUCUCACUUUCAUCCUUUGGGGGAUGCUAUCUCGAAAACACGCAACCACGAGGGAAUGUGUUAGACUUUGUCAUGUGCAAGAACCCAUGGCUAAUGUGUUAAUGUAGACUCCAAGGUGAUGCCUUAUGUCAGAAACUGCUGCGAGGAAAAGAAACUAAAGAAAAACAAAGAAAAAAUAAUAAGUGUAAAGUUCUGGAGUUAAAAAGGAAUCACAUGAGGAAACUUGAUAAAAGAAUUAAACACUAAAAAAUGAAAAAACAAAGUGAAAAAAGCUGAAGAGUAAGGAACAGCUUAUAGAAAUACUAACAAGAUUGGAAGAGCUCUAGAGGCCAGUUAUAAUGGCCAUUUGUCUCAAGUUGGUCCCUGGCAUAGAGCCCGAGUUCCUGGAGGCUUUCAAGGCUCUCCUUGAAAGUGAUCAGCUUUGGAUUGGUUGUGAGCUGGGCUCCUCAACUGGAAAUCCUCCAGCAUCUUUCCACAAGCUGCGAGAGUGUAUCUUCAGCAGUGCCAAUCCUUUGCUGGCCAUGAGUUGCCAAGCAGAAUCUCAACUGCAAGCUUAUAGUGGAAGACUGGAAGAUCGAUCUUAAGUUCUCGCCCAUGAGAUAUCCUCGCAAGGUGGUGGCAGGGACGAGUUUGUGGAGGUGGUGGAGCAACUCAUGGGAGCUGCGAGUGGCAAUUCCUUUAGAUGUAAUGUGAAGGAGCUCAGCGAGGCUGCUCAGGGAGCAACAGUGAAAGAAGGCAGGAUCUUCAUAUGAAAGUUUGGACAAGUUCGUCAAGUUUCAUAAGGUAAUUUAUAUCCAAUGCCGCAGCUGGUGGCAGGACGAUCAUCGGGCAUGAGGGCGGGGCCAAUGCACAGACAGACCAACCACCAAGAGCACAUAAAGAUGAUACUUGAAAGUGUAUAGGUUGGUGGAAGUGUUAUUUUCCUUCCCAAAGAAAUAGAUGGCGUAAUCAAGAGGAGUAAAACAUUCCUGAAGGAGAACACUAGAUUAAAACCUUUGCAAAACGCACUGAUUCUUAAGCUCAGCCUUGGAGCGAUUUCAAGCUUAUCCAGAAAAGGUAUUGUGAGAAACGGCAGCACCUUCCAGAGCACUCACGAAGUAAGCUUGAAUUUUCUUUGUUCUUCGUCAAUGGGUUCUUCUACUGGUGCCGAGGGGCUCGCUCCUCACGCAGCGGUUCUUCCCAUUCCAACGCUACGCCACAUCACUCCAUUCCUCCAUCUCUCCAGAGCUCUGGCCUCGCGAGGCUUCGUCAUAACUUUCAUCAACACGGAGGGCAACCACAGGGACUUGAAGGACAUCGUUUCACAGGAGGAGAGCUUUGGCUAUGGCGGCGGCAUUCGCUUCGAGACGGUCCCGGGCAUCCAAGCGAGCGACGUCGACUUCGCGGUCCCGGAGAAGCGGGGGAUGUUGUCCGAGGCAGUGAUGGAGAUGCAGGCUCCAGUGGAAAGCUUGCUCAUCAGGAACAUGGCCAGAGACGAUGAUCUCGUUCCUCCGGUCUCGUGCUUCAUCUCGGAUAUGUUCCCGUGGUCCGCGGAAGUAGCAAGAAGGACUGGAAUCCCAGAGGUCAAGUUCUGGAUCGCCAGUGCCUCUUGCGUUUUGCUCGAUUGCUCGUUUCCGCGAAUGCUGGAGAAGGGAGACGUUCCAGUCCAAGGUAAAGCUUCUUUCUUCUUUUUUAUUUGUCCUUCUUUCGAGAAGCACUAACGUGUUCCGCCAGAUCGUUCCAUUGAAAAGUACAUCACUUACGUAGACGGCUUGUCACCACUGCCAAUCUGGGGCCUCCCGCGCGACCUUUCUGCCAUUGACGAAUCAAGAUUCGCUGGCAGAUACGCUAGAGCCAAGAGCUUCGCCACAACGUCGUGGGUUUUGGUCAACUCGUUCGAAGAACUCGAGGGCAGUGCCACCUUCCAAGCCCUCCGAGACAUCUCUCCCAAAGCAAUCGCUGUGGGUCCUCUUUUCACCAUGGCCCCCGGCUGCAACAAGGCAAGCUUGUGGAAGGAAGACACCGAGAGUUUAUCCUGGCUCGGCAAGCAAAGUCCCGGCUCGGUUCUCUACAUUUCCUUGGGCACCAUCGCGACUCUCAGCUUCGAUCAGUUCAAGGAGUUCUCCGAGGGACUGAGGCUUCUCCAGCGUCCGUUUAUCUGGGCCAUCCGACCCAAGUCGGUCGCCGGCAUGGAGCCCGAGUUCCUGGAGCGUUUCAAGGAGGCCGUGAGGAGCUUUGGACUGGUUGUGAGCCGGGCUCCUCAGGUGGACAUCCUCCGCCACCCUUCCACGGCUGGAUUUCUCAGUCACUGCGGCUGGAACUCCAUCCUCGAGAGCGUAGCAUCCGCGGUGCCCAUGCUUUGCUGGCCGUGCGUCGCGGAGCAGAAUCUAAACUGCAAGUUGAUAGUGGAGGACUGGAAGAUCGGUCUCAAGUUCUCGUGCGUGACCAUGCCGGAUCCUCCCGAGGUGAUGGCGAGGGACGAGUUUGUGGAGGUGGUGGAGCGAUUCAUGGGAACUGACAGUGAGCAUUUGAGGAUUAACGUGAAGAAGCUGAGCGAGGAGGCUCGUAGAGCAGUGUCUAGUGGUGGCUCCUCAUAUGAAAACCUGGAGAGAUUUGCUCAAGCAGUGAAAAUUUCCUAAACUUCAAUCCAAAGCUAAGAGAAAACUUCAAAGCAUCUACUCUAUUCAAGAAUAUACUACAGUUCUUUCUCUCUCUCUCUGAAGAUAAGCACGCGCUUUGCGCGUAUAAUGGGUUCCAAGGUCAAUGUUGUCGCAAUUCCUCUCCCAGCUCAAGGCCACAUCUCUCCACUCUUGCAUCUCUGCCAAGCUCUCACUUUCAUCCUUUGGGGGAUGCUAUCUCCGAAACACACAACCAUGAGGGAAUGUGCUGGACUUUGUCACGUGCAAGAACCCAUGGCCAAUGUGCUAGUGUAGACUCCAAGGUGAUGCCUUAUGUCAGAAACUGAUGCAAAAAGAAGAAACUAAAGAAAAACAAAAAAAAUAAUAAUAAGAAGAAAGAGAGUGUAAAGUUCUGGAGUCAAAAGGGAACCAUAUGAGGAAAUUUGAUAAAAGAACUAAACACUAAAAAAUGGAAAAACAAAAAGUGAAAAAAACUAAAGAGCAAGGAACAGCUUAAAGAAGAGCUCUAGAGGCCAGUUAUAAUGGCCAUUUGUCUCAAGUUGGUCCCUGGCAUAGAGCCUGAGUUCCUGGAGGCUUUCAAGGCUCUCCUUGAAAGUGAUCAGCUUUGGACUGGUUGUGAGCUGGGCUCCUCAACCGGAAAUCCUCCAGCAUCCUUCCACAGGCUGCGAGAGUGUAUCUUCAGCAGUGCCAAUCCUUUGCUGGUCAUGAGUUGCCGAGCAGAAUCUCAACUGCAAGCUUAUAGUGGAAAACUGGAAGAUCGAUCUUAAGUUCUCACCCAUGAGAGAUCCUUGCAAGGUGGUGGCAGGGAUGAGUUUGUGGAGGUGGUGGAGCAACUCAUGGGAGCUGAGAGUGGCGAUUCCUUUAGAUGUAAUGUGAAGGAGCUCAGCGAGGCUGCUCAGGGAGCAACAGUGAAAGAAGUCAAGAUCUUCAUAUGAAAGUUUGGACAAGUUUGUCAAGUUUCAUAAGGUAAUUUAUAUCCAAUGCCGCAGCUGGUGGCAGGACGAUCAUCGGGCAUGAGGGCGGGGCCAAUGCACAGACAGACCAACCACCAAGAGCACAUAAAGAUGAUACUUGAAAGUGUAUAGGUUGGUGGAAGUGUUAUUUUCCUUCCCAAAGAAAUAGAUGGCGUAAUCAAGAGGAGUAAAACAUUCCUGAAGGAGAACACUAGAUUAAAACCUUUGCAAAACGCACUGAUUCUUAAGCUCAGCCUUGGAGCGAUUUCAAGCUUAUCCAGAAAAGGUAUUGUGAGAAACGGCAGCACCUUCCAGAGCACUCACGAAGUAAGCUUGAAUUUUCUUUGUUCUUCGUCAAUGGGUUCUUCUACUGGUGCCGAGGGGCUCGCUCCUCACGCAGCGGUUCUUCCCAUUCCAACGCUACGCCACAUCACUCCAUUCCUCCAUCUCUCCAGAGCUCUGGCCUCGCGAGGCUUCGUCAUAACUUUCAUCAACACGGAGGGCAACCACAGGGACCUGAAGGACAUCGUUUCACAGGAGGAGAGCUUUGGCUAUGGCGGCGGCAUUCGCUUCGAGACGGUCCCGGGCAUCCAAGCGAGCGACGUCGACUUCGCGGUCCCGGAGAAGCGGGGGAUGUUCUCCGAGGCAGUGAUGGAGAUGCAGGCUCCAGUGGAAAGCUUGCUCAUCAGGAACAUGGCCAGAGACGAUGAUCUCGUUCCUCCGGUCUCGUGCUUCAUCUCGGAUAUGUUCCCGUGGUCCGCGGAAGUAGCAAGAAGGACUGGAAUCCCAGAGGUCAAGUUCUGGAUCGCCAGUGCCUCUUGCGUUUUGCUCGAUUGCUCGUUUCCGCGAAUGCUGGAGAAGGGAGACGUUCCAGUCCAAGGUAAAGCUUCUUUCUUCUUUUUUAUUUGUCCUUCUUUCGAGAAGCACUAACGUGUUCCGCCAGAUCGUUCCAUUGAAAAGUACAUCACUUACGUAGACGGCUUGUCACCACUGCCAAUCUGGGGCCUCCCGCGCGACCUUUCUGCCAUUGACGAAUCAAGAUUCGCUGGCAGAUACGCUAGAGCCAAGAGCUUCGCCACAACGUCGUGGGUUUUGGUCAACUCGUUCGAAGAACUCGAGGGCAGUGCCACCUUCCAAGCCCUCCGAGACAUCUCUCCCAAAGCAAUCGCUGUGGGUCCUCUUUUCACCAUGGCCCCCGGCUGCAACAAGGCAAGCUUGUGGAAGGAAGACACCGAGAGUUUAUCCUGGCUCGG
RNAcentral lists this long non-coding RNA (8655 nucleotides) under Selaginella moellendorffii. RNAcentral describes it as "long non-coding RNA (SMOE_LNC000745)". Lineage: Eukaryota; Viridiplantae; Streptophyta; Lycopodiopsida; Selaginellales; Selaginellaceae. The record is from RNAcentral.